This is an RNA transcript of Temnothorax curvispinosus, 638 nucleotides long. It is a transcript of the gene named reactive oxygen species modulator 1, with no coding region annotated. NCBI's taxonomy places the organism in Eukaryota, Metazoa, Arthropoda, Insecta, Hymenoptera, Formicidae. The transcript is spliced from 4 exons. The record is from RefSeq and is a predicted model, not a curated record.
AAUCUCCCGCCACGAAUGACGAAAUGCAGACGAAACGGAAAUAGCAGACGGCGCGGCCGUCUUCUCGCUCACGUUGCGGAACUAUCAUGGCGCCUUCCCGAUAAUGUGAUACGAGAGCAAUGCGUUGAAAAGUUCCGGGCGAUUUCACAGGAUCGCGACCAAGUUCCAAAAUUGAAAAGCUGCAAGAUGCCGGUGGUACCUGGAGGAGCUUACCAGCAAGGACCGACUUGCUUUGAUAGAAUGAAAUUGGGCUUCACAAUCGGAUUUUGCGUGGGAAUGGCCUCUGGUGCGCUCUUCGGAGGAUUUUCCGCCCUUAGGUACGGACUGAGAGGAAGGGAAUUAUUAAACAGCGUUGGCAAGGUGAUGCUUCAAGGCGGUGGCACAUUCGGCACGUUCAUGGCCAUCGGAACAGGGAUACGAUGCUAGCGCAUGGGCGGAGCUACGUCACGGAGUAUCUCGCAGCCUAUCUUUUUCGUUGCAACCGUUGUACAAUUGAGAGAAUUCUACAAGGUUAAUCGCUCGCCGGUGUCGCGUCACCUCGCACCGGAUUAACGCUAAUUGGCGCGGCUGAACGUAAACGACUCGUCGACGGUCCUCGUGGGCGAUUCUCCGGGUCUCGCUCGCGCCGGCGACGGACG